This is a long non-coding RNA of Numida meleagris (helmeted guineafowl), 1649 nucleotides long. NCBI's taxonomy places the organism in Eukaryota, Metazoa, Chordata, Aves, Galliformes, Numididae. The record is from Ensembl.
UAAUCAUGUUCCCUCUCCUUGGACCUAUUACGCUUCCAAGCCUACAACUUAGUCAUCCUUGCAGGCAAGCUCUCCCCAUUUCCCUGUUUUGCUGGUCAGGUUCAUCCAGAAUAUUUGCUCACUUCUUUGCUUUCCUCCCAGCUAGUAGUUCAGACUCCCCAGGUGCUCAGCUCUCUGUGCUCUCUCCAGGAAAAUAAUUAAGCACAUGCUUGACUUUAAGCAUACGAAACUAAUGGUAAUUAGGAUAACAGUGGGCUUUACAGCACUCUCCUUUCCUUUGCUGACAGUUCCUCAGCCUCAGCAUGAUGCGGAAACUCUUAAACACAAAGUCUUCCUGUAAUUUAAACACCCAGCCGUAUGCGUAAUUCAAAUAAGAUGUGGAGGCGGGUGCUGAGACGCCAGGACAGUGAGCUAAAGCAGGCUCAGGGAGGAUGCGGAUUCCAGGAGCCUCACGUCAGCAGAUGUGCCAGAGGAAUUCCUGCCUCCGCCAACCCUGCGCAUCCACAGCCUGAGGGAGGAGAAUGCCGGGCAUGUGUUGCACAAAGGUUCCCCACCUGCCGAUCUUGGCAAGAGUCGGAGCAAAGGCAAAAAAAAUAGUUACAUGUUUUAAAAGCAAAUUUGAGUUCCCUUGUUUUGGUAUGGGCCAUCCUUUUAAAUCCCAAACAAUCUUCUUAUUCAGAGGUGAAAUCUGAUCUGGCAGACAUUUCAGUGCCGGACCCUGUUUUCUGCUGACUUCAGGAGACUUAAAGAGACUUUUUGACCAACAUUGUUGUUAAUUUCAAGUAUGCACUUGGCCUAGUAUUUUUCCUCUGAGAUUUACAUUACACUGUUUUACUCACUCUGGUACUUUCUAUCCAUGUUCUCACUGAAGCUGUGUCCAUGAAAUACCUAUUGCACUUUGUUACCUGUUGGUGAACACUGGUGUUUUCCUCUGUAAAGAAAUGCAAGUACCUAAAUAACUCUUAGUGCAUCUCUCCUUGACUUUGUUGGGACAUACAGCCUCUGCUGAGCAGAGGUUUAAUUGUACGCCUUCAUCCUUUGCCCUGGGAUGGACUUGAACUGAUGUGUCAAAGGAGCUAUGAGGCGUUCAUCACUGAGUGCAGUGCAAGCUCUUAAACUGGGCUCUGUGGGGCAGCUCCAGCUCAGGCACUGUAGUGCAGGAAGAAAGGGUAGGCAGAAACCUGGCAAAACUGGAUGUUUUCUACUCAGGAGGAGGUGCACUUGCUUCAGUCAAUGCCUGUCCUCAUGAGAAAGAGUACACGACAGUUUUGGGGCUUGUGGCACCUGGUAAAACAUACUGAGCAGAUGGAGAAUCCAGCACAGAGGUGGAGGGAGACCCUGGGUACUACCUGGAUCCACUGAUCCUUAAGCAAAACAUUUCCAUAGGGUUCCACAGCAGCAAACCUUCUCCUCAGUAAAGAACAGAUGAAGAUAUAGCUCUUCUGAAGUCUUAAGUUAUGCAUACUCCCUCCACAUCUGCCAGUAUUUCCACUGUUGUAUUCAUCUAGAAAUAACAAAAGGUGUCAGAGGUUGCCUGGAGUUAGGUGGCAAGCACCAUCUGACCACAUUUCUUAACUGUAAAAUGAGACAGGCCACAUGUCAAAACAGAUUAAAAUAAAUCAUCAUUUGUGAUAGUGUCCCUAAACCCC